AUUGAACGCUGGCGGCAUGCCUUACACAUGCAAGUCGAACGGUAACGGGCCUUCGGGUGCCGACGAGUGGCGCACGGGUGAGUAAUACAUCGGAACGUGCCCGAUCGUGGGGGGUAACGAGGCGAAAGCUUUUCUAAUACCGCAUACGAUCUACGGAUGAAAGCAGGGGACCGCAAGGCCUUGCGCGGACAGAGCGGCCGAUGGCAGAUUAGGUAGUUGGUGGGAUAAAAGCUUACCAAGCCGACGAUCUGUAGCUGGUCUGAGAGGAUGAUCAGCCACACUGGGACUGAGACACGGCCCAGACUCCUACGGGAGGCAGCAGUGGGGAAUUUUGGACAAUGGGCGCAAGCCUGAUCCAGCCAUGCCGCGUGCAGGAUGAAGGCCUUCGGGUUGUAAACUGCUUUUGUACGGAAAGAAAAGCCUUCUUUUAAUACAGGAGGGUCAUGACGGUACCGUAAGAAUAAGCACCGGCUAACUACGUG
This 482-nucleotide ribosomal RNA is filed under the name uncultured bacterium. RNAcentral describes it as "partial 16S ribosomal RNA". It matches the Rfam family "Bacterial small subunit ribosomal RNA", at positions 30 to 507 of the family's 1533-position model. The record is from RNAcentral.